Sapajus apella (tufted capuchin) is the source of this 1357-nucleotide long non-coding RNA. RefSeq lists it as uncharacterized. NCBI's taxonomy places the organism in Eukaryota, Metazoa, Chordata, Mammalia, Primates, Cebidae. The transcript is spliced from 5 exons. The record is from RefSeq and is a predicted model, not a curated record.
GGAAUUACCGCCAUCUUGUUUAGCAUCAUACCCCACCACCGGGAAAAGCCGGUUCCAUUAAUAAAUGGAACAAGCAGCAAUUCUAAAGCAGUGUUCCCAACCCAUGGAUUUCCUACUCUGUGAUGGGAACCUCAAGCCGAGGAGACAGAAUCUGUAUUCACAUUGAGCUGAAACCUAUGAGCAUAUCCUCUUACACCAGCAUCCCUUCCUGCCUGAGCCUCGCCAGAGCCCAGAGAUAAAACUAGUGGGAAAGGAGGGCUUAAGAAAAUGAGACGCAGGAUAGGUAAACCAGGAUGGUGGGCACAAUCUGGGUCAUGGAAUGCCGCCCAGACCAGGUGAGCUGGUAUUUCAGCACAUCAGCUGCUCCUCCCACUGGAAUGGCAAAGAGAAGGGUAGAGGGCUGAAAACAACUGCAGGCCUCGGAAGAGUCGGGAAGAGUCUCAAAGGCUGGGAAAUUCUGUUCUAUUCUUCCCUCUGCAAAGAAGAAUGAGUUGGGUCUCAAGAAGGACGACAGGAGACACUCUUUCAUGCUCCUCGUCCACGUUCUCAUCCAAAGCCAGUGGCCAGCUCUAAAGCUGACUGCACAUUCUGAGAAACACUGAAAAGGAAACAGAACUUUUGAUUCAGAAAUUAAUCAAGGCUUGGAUAUAAAUUUGUCACAUAUUUAAAAAGUUUCAACUUUAUAAAGUUAAAUUUAAGACAUUUAAUGGAAAACAAGGCAUUGACUCACAAAAUACACGAAAUACGGUAGAAAGGUCAAAGGUAGAAAGAUAAACAGUACUUGAGGUAUGUGACUGCUAAGAAGUAUCAACCAAGGUCACUGGUUGGAAAGAGGAAUUAACAAAUUUAUUCAUUACCCUUUGGCUUCUACCUCUAUUCUCAAAUCUUCCUUAAACUAGUAAGUUAGAGCUUCUUGGUUAAAUAAACAAGUACUUGGGUCUGGAAUGGAAAGUGAAACAGAAGCAUACUUCAGUCUAAUUGUUCUUCCUGUUUGGAUAUUAGCUAGUAGACUAUGAGGUGUUUCUGUUUUUCCUUCUUUUGCUCUAAGGCUGCAGCAGUAUUUUUCAAGGUGGGGAGAUUGCUUCCUAAAAAACACUUGACAAUGUCUGCAGACAUAUUUGAUUAUUAAAACGGAAGUUGGGAAAGCCUGGCGUGGAGGCUCACACAUGUAAUCCCAGUCCUUUGGGAGGCUGAGGCAGAAGGACUGCUUGAGCCAGGAGUUCCGGACCAACCUGGGCGACAAAGUGAGACGCCAUCUCUACAUACAAACGAUCAAAAAAUUAGUUGACCUUACUUAAAAGAGAAAAGUUGACCUUACUUAAACUUAAAGAGAAAAAGAAAAUUUAAAAAGGUAAGU